AUGAAUUCACCUUGGAAUGUUUUAAAGGUUAGGGAGAACAUUCCAAAAUCUACAUUUUACCAUUCAACUAGAUAUUCAGGAAUAAACCUGAAGGAACCAAGUUUGAAGUUUUGGAUUGGAAGUCAUUUAAGGAGAGGAAAAACAUUCAGCCACCUGCUGAAGAACAUGCUGCAAUACUGUCCAUCUUCUGUUCAUCACAGUUGCAGGGCCACAGCCCAGCCUGCAGCUCUUCCCAAAGCUUUGCUUGUGGUAGCCCUUGACAAGGCCUUUGUCUUCUUGGAUGAAGUCUGUGCACAAUUUCCUGGCAAAAAAGCCAGAGUUAGCUCGGAGAUAGAUCUUUGAUCAAACAACAUCUGGAGACACUGAAAAAACUG
This 374-nucleotide long non-coding RNA is filed under the name Macaca mulatta (Rhesus monkey). RNAcentral describes it as "lncRNA (ENSMMUG00000051185.1)". The record is from RNAcentral. Lineage: Eukaryota; Metazoa; Chordata; Mammalia; Primates; Cercopithecidae.